GGGCUACACAGUGCUACAAUGGCGUAUACAAAGAGAAGCGACCUCGCGAGAGCAAGCGGACCUCAUAAAGUACGUCGUAGUCGGAUUGGAGUCUGCAACUCGACUCCUGAACGGAAUCGCUAGUAAUCGUAGAUCAGAAUGCUACGGUGAAUACGUUCCCGGGCCUUGUACACACCGCCCCGUCACACCAUGGGGAAGUGGGUUGCAAAAGAAGUAGGUAGCUUAACCUUCGGGAGGGCGCUUACCACUUUGUGAUUCAUGACUGGGGUGAAGUCGUAACAAGGUAACCGUAGGGGAACCUGCGGUUGGAUCACCUCCUUA
Molecule: ribosomal RNA, 321 nt
Filed under: uncultured Serratia sp.
Lineage: Bacteria; Pseudomonadati; Pseudomonadota; Gammaproteobacteria; Enterobacterales; Yersiniaceae
Description: bacterial SSU rRNA
Rfam family: Bacterial small subunit ribosomal RNA
Source: RNAcentral